RNAcentral lists this ribosomal RNA (434 nucleotides) under uncultured bacterium. RNAcentral describes it as "bacterial SSU rRNA". It matches the Rfam family "Bacterial small subunit ribosomal RNA", at positions 335 to 762 of the family's 1533-position model. The record is from RNAcentral.
ACUCCUACGGGAGGCAGCAGUGAGGAAUAUUGGUCAAUGGGCGCAAGCCUGAACCAGCCAUGCCGCGUGCAGGAAGACUGCCUUAUGGGUUGUAAACUGCUUUUAUAUGGGGAAGAAAACCCNCCUCUACGGUGAGUAGGCUGACGGUACCAUAAGAAUAAGCACCGGCUAACUCCGUGCCAGCAGCCGCGGUAAUACGGAGGGUGCAAGCGUUAUCCGGAAUCAUUGGGUUUAAAGGGUCCGCAGGCGGUCAAUUAAGUCAGAGGUGAAAUCCUAUAGCUUAACUAUAGAACUGCCUUUGAUACUGGUUGACUUGAGUUAUACGGAAGUAGGUAGAAUGUGUAGUGUAGCGGUGAAAUGCAUAGAUAUUACACAGAAUACCGAUUGCGAAGGCAGCCUACUACGUAUAUACUGACGCUCAUGGACGAAAGCGU